UUGGAGGGCAAGUCUGGUGCCAGCAGCCGCGGUAAUUCCAGCUCCAAUAGCGUAUAUUAAAGUUGUUGCAGUUAAAAAGCUCGUAGUUGAAUUUCGGGAUCAAUUUAUCGGUCGUGCCUCUGGUAUGCACUGGUAUUAUUGAUUUCUACCUUCUGACGAACCAUGAUGUCAUUAAUUUGGUGUCAUGGGGAAUCAGGACUGUUACUUUGAAAAAAUUAGAGUGUUUAAAGCAAGCACACGCUUGAAUACAUUAGCAUGGAAUAAUGAAAUAGGACGUUUGACCCUAUUUUGUUGGUUUCUAGGAUCGACGUAAUGAUUAAUAGGGAUAGUUGGGGGCAUUAGUAUUCAAUUGUCAGAGGUGAAAUUCUUGGAUUUAUUGAAGACUAACUACUGCGAAAGCAUUUGCCAAGGAUGUUUUCAUUAAUCAAGAACGAAAGUUAGGGGAUCGAAGACGAUCAGAUACCGUCGUAGUCUUAACCAUAAACUAUGCCGACUAGGGAUCGGAUGAUGUUAAUUUUUUAAUGACUCAUUCGGCGCCUUACGGGAA
RNAcentral lists this ribosomal RNA (547 nucleotides) under uncultured Glomeromycotina. RNAcentral describes it as "SSU rRNA". It matches the Rfam family "Eukaryotic small subunit ribosomal RNA", at positions 548 to 1096 of the family's 1831-position model. The record is from RNAcentral. Lineage: Eukaryota; Fungi; Glomeromycota.